AUGAGCUUGUUGGUUGUGAACCCCUUUUCUUCCAGCCUUCCUGUUUUGGUUUUUGAUGUUGUACCAGAUAGCAGGCGCCUUUUAGUAUCUGGUUAUGGCGCCACGAGGUCUCUUUGCACCAAUGCCUUCUUCGCUUAUACUCUCUGUGGAUUCGUCAUCGCUGGAGUAAUAACCAGCAGGAUCGUUGCGUGCGGGAAUGAUGAAUAUGUCGGAGUGAUCAGGAGACCUGAAGCUGACUCUCCUGGCUACGCUGCGUUGGCUCCUCAGAGUAACCCUGUCGAUGGAGAAGCUAUCCUGGAUACUGGGGGAGUUGUCCCCAUAAGGGCAAUCCAGGUUAAGCGGACGAACCUUCGGGGAAUGCCUCCGAGGUGA
Molecule: ribosomal RNA, 372 nt
Filed under: Triticum aestivum (bread wheat)
Lineage: Eukaryota; Viridiplantae; Streptophyta; Magnoliopsida; Poales; Poaceae
Description: partial small subunit ribosomal RNA
Source: RNAcentral